RNAcentral lists this non-coding RNA (169 nucleotides) under Fervidicella metallireducens. RNAcentral's name for it is "T-box sequence". It matches the Rfam family "T-box leader". Rfam says of the family: Uncharged tRNA acts as the effector for transcription antitermination of genes in the T-box leader family. T-boxes are found upstream of many aminoacyl-tRNA synthetase genes and some amino acid biosynthetic genes usually in Gram-positive bacteria. The anticodon of a specific tRNA base pairs to a specifier sequence within the T-box motif, and the NCCA acceptor tail of the tRNA base pairs to a conserved bulge in the T-box antiterminator hairpin. The record is from RNAcentral. Lineage: Bacteria; Bacillati; Bacillota; Clostridia; Eubacteriales; Clostridiaceae.
UAAGACACUGUGAAGAGAAGGAGUAGCUAAAUGUCUUAUUUAAAGCGAGUCGAAGAUGGUGUAAGUUCGAUAAUAAGCUUUAGUGAAGGGCAUCUCGGAGUGUUUUUUAUAAAGUGGACUUUUAUGUCAAUAAGGGUGGAACCGCGGAAGAAAACCUUUCGUCCCUUGC